AUACGUAGGGGGCGAGCGUUGUCCGGAAUGAUUGGGCGUAAAGGGCGCGUAGGCGGCCCGGUAAGUCUGGAGUGAAGGUCCUGUUUUUAAGAUGGGAAUUGCUUUGGAUACUGUCGGGCUUGAGUGCAGGAGAGGUAAGUGGAAUUUCCAGUGUAGCGGUGAAAUGCGUAGAGAUUGGGAGGAACACCAGUGGCGAAGGCGACUUACUGGACUGUAACUGACGCUGAGGCGCGAAAGUGUGGGGAGCAAACAGGAUUAGAUACCCUGGUAGUCCACACUGUAAACGAUGAAUGCUAGGUGUAGGGGGUAUCGACCCCUUCUGUGCCGCAGUCAACACAAUAAGCAUUCCGCCUGGGGAGUACGGCCGCAAGGUUGAAACUCAAAUGAAUUGACGGGG
Molecule: ribosomal RNA, 397 nt
Filed under: uncultured bacterium
Lineage: Bacteria
Description: partial 16S ribosomal RNA
Rfam family: Bacterial small subunit ribosomal RNA
Source: RNAcentral